AGACCCGAAACCCGGUGAUCUAGCCAUGGGCAGGUUGAAGGUUGGGUAACACUAACUGGAGGACCGAACCGACUAAUGUUGAAAAAUUAGCGGAUGACCUGUGGCUGGGGGUGAAAGGCCAAUCAAACCGGGAGAUAGCUGGUUCUCCCCGAAAGCUAUUUAGGUAGCGCCUCGUGAAUUCAUCUCCGGGGGUAGAGCACUGUUUCGGCUAGGGGGCCAUCCCGGCUUACCAACCCGAUGCAAACUGCGAAUACCGGAGAAUGUUAUCACGGGAGACACACGGCGGGUGCUAACGUCCGUCGUGAAGAGGGAAACAACCCAGACCGCCAGCUAAGGUCCCAAAGUCAUGGUUAAGUGGGAAACGAUGUGGGAAGGCCCAGACAGCCAGGAUGUUGGCUUAGAAGCAGCCAUCAUUUAAAGAAAGCGUAAUAGCUCACUGGUCGAGUCGGCCUGCGCGGAAGAUGUAACGGGGCUAAACCAUGCACCGAAGCUGCGGCAGCGACGCUGAUGCGUUGUUGGGUAGGGGAGCGUUCUGUAAGCCUGCGAAGGUGGCCUGUGAGGGUUGCUGGAGGUAUCAGAAGUGCGAAUGCUGACAUAAGUAACGAUAAAGCGGGUGAAAAGCCCGCUCGCCGGAAGACCAAGGGUUCCUGUCCAACGUUAAUCGGGGCAGGGUGAGUCGACCCCUAAGGCGAGGCCGAAAGGCGUAGUCGAUGGGAAACGGGUUAAUAUUCCCGUACUUGGUGUUACUGCGAAGGGGGGACGGAGAAGGCUAUGUUGGCCGGGCGACGGUU
This 791-nucleotide ribosomal RNA is filed under the name Salmonella enterica subsp. enterica serovar Rubislaw. RNAcentral's name for it is "partial 23S ribosomal RNA". It matches the Rfam family "Bacterial large subunit ribosomal RNA", at positions 711 to 1503 of the family's 2925-position model. Lineage: Bacteria; Pseudomonadati; Pseudomonadota; Gammaproteobacteria; Enterobacterales; Enterobacteriaceae. RNAcentral also lists the same sequence under 13 other names. The record is from RNAcentral.